UAGUAAGGUAGGAUAAUUAUUAGUCUAUUAGGUUCAUACCCUUUUGGUGGAAACUCUUAUUAUA
Molecule: transfer RNA, 64 nt
Filed under: Protostrongylus rufescens
Lineage: Eukaryota; Metazoa; Nematoda; Chromadorea; Rhabditida; Metastrongylidae
Description: tRNA-Met
Source: RNAcentral